CCAUCUGGAAGAAUCUGGAGACAGGUGCUGCAUGGCUGUCGUCAGCUCGUGUCGUGAGAUGUUGGGUUAAGUCCCGCAACGAGCGCAACCCUUGCCUUUAGUUGCCAGCAGUUCGGCUGGGCACUCUAAAGGGACUGCCGGUGUUAAACCGGAGGAAGGUGGGGAUGACGUCAAGUCCUCAUGGCCUUUAUGACCAGGGCUACACACGUACUACAAUGGCCGAUACAAAGGGCAGCGACACUGCGAGGUGAAGCCAAUCCCGUAAAAUCGGUCUCAGUCCGGAUUGGAGUCUGCAACUCGACUCCAUGAAGUUGGAAUCGCUAGUAGUCGUGGAUCAGCAUGCCACGGUGAAUACGUUCCCGGGCCUU
This 368-nucleotide ribosomal RNA is filed under the name uncultured Desulfobulbus sp. RNAcentral's name for it is "bacterial SSU rRNA". It matches the Rfam family "Bacterial small subunit ribosomal RNA", at positions 1013 to 1382 of the family's 1533-position model. Lineage: Bacteria; Pseudomonadati; Thermodesulfobacteriota; Desulfobulbia; Desulfobulbales; Desulfobulbaceae. The record is from RNAcentral.